Molecule: ribosomal RNA, 495 nt
Filed under: Triticum aestivum (bread wheat)
Lineage: Eukaryota; Viridiplantae; Streptophyta; Magnoliopsida; Poales; Poaceae
Description: partial small subunit ribosomal RNA
Source: RNAcentral
AUGCUCGAAGAAUUCUGCCAGAACUUCGAAGAGGAAACCAGUCGAGUGGAGCCAGUCUUGGACCCCGCCAAUUCUCUCGUGAAGGAUGAGGCUGCUAUGAACGUGCUCCGACUGGAGUCUCGUAUUACCAGUGUUGUUGACUACCUUGCUCGACUGAAGGUUGCGAUGUCGCGGAUCGACACAUCACUCUGGCCUGGGACAACGCUUCAGAAUGACCUCGAGUCUCUGAUGGCUCGACUGAAUGAAGCCCCGGGUCGAGUGGCGGAAUGGAAGAAGUCUUCUGCUAGAUGUGGUGCUGAUGUCGCUCUGUCUCUGGUCCGCGUCCAUUGCAAGGAGGCGCGAGAAGAAAAGCUGGCCGCCAUCCAAGUUGCCAAUACCAGGAAGCACAGCUUUCAAGAAUUCAUGGAGACUUUCAUCGCUGCUGCCACUCGUAUUGUGGACGGGAUCGACUUGGACGAGUUCGUCGCCCCUUCCAGUCCUCCGCCUGAGGAAUGA